This is a long non-coding RNA of Salvelinus fontinalis (brook trout), 697 nucleotides long. RefSeq lists it as uncharacterized. The record is from RefSeq and is a predicted model, not a curated record. Lineage: Eukaryota; Metazoa; Chordata; Actinopteri; Salmoniformes; Salmonidae. The transcript has 4 exons.
CCCUCUCGCGCAGCUGACGGGGCUCUUUGCUUGUUCGCCGCGCUUUUUCCCGAAAGGGCCCUGGUGACGGGACCAUUCAGGAGCCGGAGCCAUAAAUGAGCGAGUUGGACGCCACAUAAGUACUGAGUUUUGUAAAAGACACAGACUUUGGAGCGCAGCCAAAAUGCCAGGAACAAAAGGCAACAAAUCUGACAAGAAAUCAGCUACCAAGCAACCUCAGAGUCCUAAGGAGCUACCGAAGAAAGCUGAUCAGAAAGGAGAUGAUAACAAAAAGCAAGGAGGACAGCCGAAGGGAGAGAAGCAAUAAUUUCCAGGUAUUAAAGAUGGCUCUGGAGACUCUGCUGGGAUCCUGUCAUCACAAGCAUGGGGGUCCUCGGGGUAGACAAGGCUGAAGAACCGCCCUUGGACCUGCAGACAGGCCAUCGCUACACAACUACGCUCACCUCUUCUCACAAGGGCAGAAAGUGACCCACAUUUCCAUGAUGAUCCACUGUGUAAGCCCUUUCUUCCCACCCUGUUUCCCCUCCCUCAGUCUGCUCUGGAUUGUAGGAAGCUUGGAAAAGGAUGGUCACAAGGUCAAACCCAGCCAAUGCUCUGAGCUUCCCCAGAAACUGAAACCAUCUACCCAAUCGUUCCCUCUCUUCCCACCCAAAGUUCCUUAUUUUGAUCAACUGUAACAGUCCAAACCAUUCUUGUA